CCUCAUAUGGGCCGAAAGACGUCAUGGACCAUACAUGGGCCGGAAGUUAAAACGGGCUAGAAUCAUAUUGGACGGCCCAGAUAACGCUACUGGGGCUAAUUCAAAUAGGUCGUAACGGGCCCUGGGUUAGCGGGCUGUAAAUGGGCUAUAUGCGAACAGGCCGUUAACAGGCUUUCCACGAUCCCAGCACCUAUAUGCGAUGAGUGACCUCCGCCCGCUGCACAACCAUCCUUCUGCAUCAAGCCUUUGUCCAUAGUUUGCAUCUCAUUGAAGUAGUCCACCAUUUGAUCUCGAGGGAUGAAUCAUUUCGAAGACCUUUCGAUGACCACUGUCAUUGUGGAGCCGCGGAAGGUCGCUGCAGCAUAGUAUGUAGCUACCACCGUCUUGGCCGACCAGAUCUAAAUCACCUCCGUUCAGAUCUGAAUCAGGGCAACCACGCCGGGUUAAUCAUGGACGACCCCGAGGCUGCUGGCAGUCCGGCAACAUCCGACCGCCGUGCUGACGUCGCUGCUGUACGACGACCCCCCUUGAACGAACAACGAAGGCACCACCAUAGAAGAGUAGCCACCCCGUGCAAGUGCAACCAAGGGAGCCAGCCACCGCAUCGCAGGCCGCCGUCGUCCGCUGCAUGCGCUAGGCAGCCAGCCGCCGUCGUCCGCUCCAUGUGCAGCCCCGAGCGCCGUUGCCAGAUGCAGAUCCCCCGCCACCAUCCAGCGCAAGAACUCGCGCCACCAGGAUCUGGUGCCCCCAGAUCGAAGCAGCCACGAGGAAGCGCCCCGCCGCCGCCGUCGGCCGCGCGGGCUUCGCCUGGCGGCGUCCUCCGGCGGCGGCGUGGCUGUGGACGGGAGCGGUCUGAGCUGAGCGGGUUGGGCGGCUCGCCCCCGUGUCGCCCUCUAAUGAGCGGGAGGCCAGCAAGUAGUACGAGCAGACACGCGCGAGAAAACCCUAGACCAAGAUGCGAACACCCUUCCCUGGUGCCUCGAUGCCUGACCGCCCCCGCCGGAGACACCCCAUCGCCGUGUCAAUCUCAUCUGUCGGGAUUGGAAUUGACUGGGUCAAGCUUCAUGCCUUCAAAGUAAAAUCUCAACAUGAAAAAAUUCGUCUAGGAGUAUGGCAGGAUACUUUUCCAAGAGCCUCAAUUGCAGGUACAGAUCAUAAAACCAAACCUAUUUCUACCAUUGAUCUGAAAUCAAACUAUUUCUUAUACCAUUGGUUUUUGGUUUCAUGUC
Molecule: non-coding RNA, 1229 nt
Organism: Aegilops tauschii subsp. strangulata
Lineage: Eukaryota; Viridiplantae; Streptophyta; Magnoliopsida; Poales; Poaceae
Source: RefSeq, a predicted model, not a curated record